ACGAACGCUGGCGGCGUGCUUAACACAUGCAAGCUGAACGGGGCAUUGUAGAGUAGCAAUACAAAACAAUGUUCAGUAGCGGACGGGUGAGUAAAAGACGAGAAGCUGUCGGUCAGAGGGGGAUAACGUUUAGAAAUGAACGCUAAUACCGCGUAAGCCUAAGGGUGAAAGCAGAAAUGCGCUGACAUGAGGUGCUCGUAGCCUAUCAGGUAGUUGGUGGGGUAAUGGCCUACCAAGCCAAUGACGGGUAGCCGGCCUGAGAGGGUGAACGGCCACACUGGAACUGAGACACGGUCCAGACUCCUACGGGAGGCAGCAGUGGGGAAUAUUGGGCAAUGGAUGAAAGUCUGACCCAGCGACGCCGCGUGAAUGACGAAGGUCUUCGGAUUGUAAAGUUCUUUUAUACGGGAAGAGUAGAGGACGGUACCGUAUGAAUAAGUCCCGGCUAACUACGUGCCAGCAGCCGCGGUAAUACGUAGGGGACGAGCGUUGUCCGGAAUUACUGGGCGUAAAGGGCAUGUAGGCUGUUUAGCAAGUCAGUAGUAAAAUGCUGAGGCUUAACCUCAGCAAGCUAUUGAGACUGUUAGACUGGAGUACUGAAGAGGCAAGGGGAAUUCCCAGUGUAGCGGUGAAAUGCGUAGAUAUUGGGAAGAACACCGGUGGCGAAGGCGACUUGCUGGUCAGUAACUGACGCUGAGGUGCGAAAGCCAGGGGAGCAAACGGGAUUAGAUACCCCGGCCGCACUAGUGAUUAACGAUGAAUGCUAGGUGUGUGAGUAGAGAUACUGACGUGCCGCAGUUAACGCGAUAAGCAUUCCGCCUGGGGACUACGGCCGCAAGGUUGAAACUCAAAGGAAUUGACGGGGGCCCGCACAAGCGGUGGAGCACGUGGUUUAAUUCGAUGCAAACCGAAGAACCUUACCUGGGUUUGACAUGUUAGUGGUAAGAGGCUGAAAGGCAGAUGACUUAACCUUCGGGUUAAGAGCUAACACAGGUGCUGCAUGGCUGUCGUCAGCUCGUGUCGUGAGAUGUUGGGUCAAGUCCCGCAACGAGCGCAACCCCUGCAUUUAGUUGCUACCGAGAGAGACGAGCACUCUAGAUGGACUGCCGCCGAUAAGGUGGAGGAAGGUGGGGACGACGUCAAGUCAUCAUGGCCCUUAUGUCCAGGGCGACACACGUGCUACAAUGGCCGGUACAAAGGGAAGCGAGCCCGAGAGGGUAAGCGGAUCCCAUAAAGCCGGUCGCAGUUCGGAUUGAGGUCUGCAACCCGACCUCAUGAAGCUGGAAUCGCUAGUAAUCGCGCAUCAGCAUGGCGCGGUGAAUACGUUCCCGGGCCUUGUACACACCGCCCGUCACACCAUCCGAGUUGGAGGUACCCGAAGCCGGUAGUCUAACCGCAAGGAGGACGCUGUCGAAGGUACGUUUAGUGAGGAGGGUG
RNAcentral lists this ribosomal RNA (1437 nucleotides) under uncultured Synergistota bacterium. RNAcentral's name for it is "bacterial SSU rRNA". It matches the Rfam family "Bacterial small subunit ribosomal RNA". Lineage: Bacteria; Thermotogati; Synergistota. The record is from RNAcentral.